This 461-nucleotide unclassified non-coding RNA is filed under the name Hevea brasiliensis (rubber tree). Lineage: Eukaryota; Viridiplantae; Streptophyta; Magnoliopsida; Malpighiales; Euphorbiaceae. The record is from RNAcentral.
ACAAUUGUUGCUGCAGUGUUUGCUGAUCCACUUGUAGAUGCUGUUGAAAAUUUCUCAACUGCUUCAAGCAUUCCUACUUUCUUUGUUUCCUUUGUCAUCUUGCCUUUUGCUAGCUCCAGUGAGGUAGUUUCAGACCUAAUCUUUGCCAGCAGGAAGAAUUCAAAAUCUGCUUCCUUAGCAUAUUCUGAGAUUUAUGGGUCAGUGACCAUGAGCAACAUUCUUUCUCUAUCAGUAUUCUUAGGUCUUGUUUACUUUCGUGGGUUGACAUGGAAUUUCUCAUCUGAAGUUCUGGUAAUUCUGAUUGUUUGUGUUGUGAUGGGGCUAAUUGCCAGUUUCCGCACCACUUUCCCUCUUUGGAUGUGUCUGGCGGCCUAUGCACUUUACCCUUUCUCCCUGUUGCUUGCUUAUGUCCUUGACUAUGUUCUUGGUUGGGCUUAAACUCACAGUGCUUUACAAAGCAG